CUGUCGUCAGCUCGUGUCGUGAGAUGUUGGGUUAAGUCCCGCAACGAGCGCAACCCUCAUCCUUAGUUACCAUCAGGUAAUGCUGGGGACUUUAAGGAAACUGCCAGUGAUAAACUGGAGGAAGGUGGGGAUGAUGUCAAGUCAUCAUGGCCCUUAUGGAGUGGGCUACACACGUGCUACAAUGGUGGCUACAAUGGGCUGCAAAGUCGCGAGGCUAAGCUAAUCCCUUAAAAGCCAUCUCAGUUCGGAUUGUACUCUGCAACUCGAGUGCAUGAAGUUGGAAUCGCUAGUAAUCGUGGAUCAGCACGCCACGGUGAAUA
RNAcentral lists this ribosomal RNA (320 nucleotides) under Wolbachia endosymbiont of Anopheles stephensi. Its description in RNAcentral is "bacterial SSU rRNA". It matches the Rfam family "Bacterial small subunit ribosomal RNA", at positions 1049 to 1368 of the family's 1533-position model. Lineage: Bacteria; Pseudomonadati; Pseudomonadota; Alphaproteobacteria; Rickettsiales; Anaplasmataceae. The record is from RNAcentral.